Molecule: long non-coding RNA, 6045 nt
Organism: Nycticebus coucang (slow loris)
Lineage: Eukaryota; Metazoa; Chordata; Mammalia; Primates; Lorisidae
Exons: 3
Source: RefSeq, a predicted model, not a curated record
CCUGCUGGCGUAGGCUACGUCGCCGCAGGAAUUUUAACUUGACUCUCGCAAGAGCCCCGUUCCUCACCUAAGUUCGGUCCCCAGUACAGCAGCUUCUCAGGCUCACGCCCACCUCCCCGCCGCUCCCCUCCCGCCUUUGGCCACGCCUCUCUGGCCGCUGGGCGCCUGGUGGCUGAGCCGGGAUCCCAGCGGCCGGACGGCUGCUGGCUCAGUGCGCCAUCCAAUCCCAGGCCACAGCGCCUCGCCUCAGGGAUAAGGAAACCGAGACUCUGAGAAGGGACGUAACUAACUCAGUGUCAAGCGGGAGGUCUGGCCGUGGGGAAUAAAAGGUGAGGCCUGGGGCAAAAGACUGGUCGGCGUCCAGUAACCCACAGGGCUCAGCCAAAGGCUCCACUAGCAGACAAUGACUCUCUGCUAAUUCAGGGGAGAAGUUGGACUCAACUAUGUGACCUGGGCCUGGCCUUUUCAGCUCUGGCGCCCAUCACAAGAAAUCCCCAGGCUCACGUGAUAAGAAUGCAGCUGGACCCAUCCAGGAAAUGGAGACCUGUGGAAGGGAGGGAAAGUGGAACCGUCAUGGCCAGCAAUGGCGGGGAGAAACUGCAGCCCCCGGCCAACAGUCAACACCAACUUUCUGUGAGUGAAUCGCAUUGGAAAUGGAUCCUAAGCCCCAGUCAGGUCUUCAGCUAAGACUGCAGCCCUGGUGGACACCUGACUGCAGUGUCACAAAAGACCCUGAACCAGAAUCACCCUGUGGAGCCCAAAUUCCUGACCCACCAAAACUGUGAGAGAUAUUAAAUGAUAAUUGUUUUUGAGCUUCCAUGUUUUGGGAAAAUCAGUUACAUGGCAAUUCUAGAGUAUUCUAGAGGAAACAUCUCAUUCAGGAGCCCCAAGGCAAAAAUGACCUUUCUGUGCUUGAGGGCAGCCAGUGUGGCUGGAGUAGAGUAAAGGAACCAAUAAUAGGGAGGGGUCAAGAGGUGACUAGGCACCUCACAUUGGGUCAUGCAGACCAGGCAGCUGGAAGCCCACAGUUUGAGGAUUGUGAGCUGGAGGAAGGGUGUGGUGAUGUUUUGAUUUAUAUCUUUUUAACAACCUCUGUAUACACAAAAGAAGUGAGAAGAGAUAUCUGUACAUCCAUGUUCAUAACAGCAUUAUUCACAAUAGCCGAGAGGUGGAAACAACUCAAGUGUCCAUCCCCAGAUGAAUGGAUAUACAAAUGUGGUCGGUCCAUACAAUGGAAUAUUAUUCAGUCUUCAAAAGGAGGGAAAUUCAGAUACAUGUUACAACAUGGAUGAACCUUGAAGACAUUAUGCUAAGUGAAAUAAUCCAGACACAAAAGAACAAAUACUGUAUGAUCUCAUUAUACCUGAAGUAGUCAAAUUCAUACAGACAGAACAGUGGCUGCCAGGAGCUGUGGGGAGGGGAAAUAGGGAAGUUAGUGUUUAAUGGGGACAGAGUUUCAGUUAGGAAGAUGAAAAUGUGCUGGAGAUGGAUGGUGGUGAUGGGUGAUGGUGGCACAAGAAUGUGAAGGUACUUAAUGUCAGUGAACUGCACACUUAAAAUGAUUAAAACAGCAAAUUUUAUGUUACAUAUAUUUUACCAAAAUUAAAAAAAAGAAAUACCUGGUAGCUAUGAGGUGGUGGAGUCUGGAGGUCCCUGACUGGAGACAGGGAGACCAUGUGGAGGCUUUCUUAACAGUCUAGGCCAGGGGUCCUCAAACUACGGCCCGCGGGCCACAUGCGGCCCACCGAAGACAUUGAUCCGGCCCUCCGGGUGUUUUUGCCACCGCUGCCUGUCCUGCUACAGUACGCAUGUAUGGAAUGUGUGCUGCACUCUCCGACUCCUCUCCUCUCUGUCUCUCCACAACUCCUCUCAGUCUUGGGACUAACUGAUGCACACUUGCAUCACUUGUUAUGACUAGCAGUGACAAAUAUGAAACUAGACAUUGACUAUCUCAUUAGCCAAAAGCAGGCCCAUAGUUCCACUGAAAUACUGGUAAGUUUGUUGAUUUAACUAUAGUUGUUCUUUAUUUUAAAUAUUGUAUUUGUUCCCAUUUUGCUUUUUUUAAUUCAAAAUAAGAUAUGUGCAAUGUGCAUAGGAAUUUGUUCAUAGUUUUCUUUUUAAAACUAUAUUCUGGCCCUCCAACGGUCUGAGGGACAGUGAACUGGCCCCCUGUUUAAAAAGUUUGAGGAUCCCUGGUCUAGGCAAAAGGAAGCUUGACCCAGAGUGGCAGUUGUGGAGGUGGGAGAAGGGGUGGAUCCUGUCUGAAAUUUGAGGAUGAGCCAAAGGACCUGGCUGUGGGGCCAAAGAGUAAGUGAAGAGCCAUGAGGUUUGGGCCUGGAAGAGUGGAGAGAGGAAGACCCAAGAGGUCUUCUCUGGCCAUGCCAAGUUUAAGAAGUCUGAGGUCAUCUGUAUCUAAGCUCUUUCUGCAUGACCAACAGAAUGUCAGCCCAAGCUUUAAAGAACUAACAGCUCCCACCUAUUCUUUGGAAUGCUGACUCUUGAAACCCAGCCACCAUGAUAGAAAGCAAUACCACAUGGUGUUUCAAUGGAGAGCCUCAGCUGAGAUCUCAGACAACAUCUAGUAUCCCCUGCCUGGCACAUGAGUAAGGAUGCCCUGGGAGGUACAGCCUCGGGGAGAGCCAGCUGCGGCCUCUGUUUAACAGUAAUCACAUGUGAGAACCACAAAAAUGAACCAGCCAGCAAACACACAGAACCAGGAGAAAGAGUAUCAUGCUGGCUGCUGUUGUUUGAAGCCACUAAGUUUUGGGGUGAUUCACUGUAGAGCAACAGAAAAAAUGAAACACGAGGUAACGAAACUGUUGAGGAAUCAACUCAUGAGACACAAUUUUUUCCCCAACCGCUGUUCCCCAACUGGAGGAUAUUCUACUGAGUGAUGACAUCUGUUAAUGUUUAGCCUUAUAAUUUUACAGCCACUUCUAGUUAUUAGAAUGGCAACAUUCCAGCAUUUGAGGCUGACGCAUGUUUCUUUGUUAACUUAGCUUCCUAUCAACUGAAAACCAUGGGUCUCACCAAUACGGUAUUUGAAAGACAACCGAACCAGUCAUUAGAGGACUUGAGGCAAUGAUAAGGAUGACAUGGUAGCCCAGUUGCUGCAUACAGCUACGUAGUUCCCCUCUGCUUUUACCCAAGCUAAAGAGUGCCUCUGCUGGUGACUUUGUGGCUGGAUAGAGUCACAUGCUUAGCCUGGUCAAUGCCUUAUGAACCGAAGUGAUGUGUGUCCCCUCCAGGCCAGAGUACUGUGUUGCAAUGCAAGCCCCUCCAGCAUCUUCUUCUCCGCCAUAAGACAUACUGGAAUCAGGGUUGCUCUACCAGCUGGGGUCCUGGCAACUCCACUGAGCAGAGGCUCUGCAGAUCCUGGCUGGAGACAGUGAAACUAGGAAAUAAACUUGGUGGUUUAGGCUCCUGGGGAUUGUUUUAGUAGAAUAGCCUCACUAAUCUUGAUGGACACAAUAAUAAAAUUUUUUUUUUCAGCAGAGAAGGUAAGUGUGGGUGUGAUGUUCUAGGCAGAGGAAGAAGUGUGUGCUAAGAUGGAACAACAUGGGCAGCACCUGUGGCUCAGUGAGUAGGGCACUGGCCCCAUAUACCAAGGGUGGCUGGUUCAAACCUGGCCCUGGCCAAAUUGCAGCAAAAAAAUAGCCAGGCAUUGUGGUGGGCACCUGUAGUCCCAGCUACUUGGGAGGCUGAGGCAAGAGAAUCACCUAAGCCCAGGAGUUGGAGGUUGCUGUGAGCUGUGUGAUGCCACGGCACUCUACCAAGGGUGAUAAGUGAGACUCUGUCUCUACAAAAAAAAAAAAAAAAAAAAAAUGGAACAACAUGUGCUAAGGCUUUGGAUGGGAGUGAGCUGGCUGUGUCCAGGAAAAUCAUAAUGGUAGGUUGUUACCUGGCUGUACUAGUAGUGGGUACUAGGCCUCACAGGUAUGUGAGGGAGGGAUUUGGGGCCAACUCUCCUUUCCCUCUUUUCCCCUGGAGCAGAGCCCCACAGUUCUGACAAUGCCUGUGGAAGGACAUGACUUUCCACUCCAUGGCAUUUCCCAUGGAGUAAGACCCUCUGGCCGUGAUGCGGGCUUGCAGGGGGAGGGGUGUCUAGUGUGCUGCAAUGGGCAGUGGCUCUGCUUUGCGGCCAGGCCCCAUGUAAUUCCUCCUCCAACCCCUCUGCUCACUGUGGCCUUUCCAUAGCCACCUGGAUACCCAUUUCUGUAACUGUUAGCUACUGGGAACAAAACUCCUGUCCCCCUAAACCUUCAUAGGCAGGCUUCUUGCCUCCCACCUUAGUUCUGAUGCCUGGCCUGCCCUGCAUGGCAGUGGGUCUACAGCCUGCCUGGCUCCUACCUCACCCCAAUGAGGAUUAAUGGGAUGGAGAAGGCUUGGUGGGGGCUAAAACUUAGAACAAGAGAAGCCAGAGCCUUUUGUCAUCUUUGCUGAUCCUUGGCCUGAGCUGAAGUCCCAAAAGGAGCUGAGUGGUCUCUGAACCCCAUGAUGCAAAUCAGCAUCUGCCUGUAUCCCCAGGCAGCAGUAGGGUGGGCCAUGGGCAUGUGUGCUGCUGCCUGGCCCUGGCCCUGGCCUGGCCUGCAUCUGAGCCUGCAGGACCCUCAGGGCACAUUGCUGGGGCCACCACUGUCCACUCCCAUCAUAGCUGGGGAGAGCUUUGAUAAACCCCAACAGAUGAAAGCUGUAUCUCCUGGUGAGGCCUGGGUCUGUGUUUUCUUGCCUCUGUCCCCCUGUGCACCCUUAGGGACCCCGAGAUGCCCCAGAGCAUGACAUGAAAACCACCCAGCAUAUCCUCUGGCCUCACAAUCCCUCUCCAGGAGUCUAUCCAAAGGAAAUCGCAUCCUAGUACCAUGGUAUGUACAAAGGUGACAGCCAAAAUGUGAAAACACCUAAGUGUCCCUCAGGUGGGGAUUUAUCACAUAAAUUAUGGCGCAUCUGUCAUCUGUAUCUGUAGUCUACCAUGAAAGCAUUCAGUCUAUGUGAUAUGAACACGUGGCAAUGUGGCUUCAGCAGGCAAGGGGUAGCGCAGGUGAGGCCUUCUCCCUCCUGACUGCCAGCUCUUUCUCCUCAGAGUCCCAACACAGUUGCUAGGCCUCCAGGCAGAAAGCAGGGGAAGGUCAAAGCACAAACUCCAGUGACUUUUCUCAAUGACCAGAGGUAGGUCACAUCCCAAAUUAUGGGAGGCUAGAGGUAUAUUUGUACCUGGCCCAAGCCAAACUUGGGGCUCAGAGGUGAGAGAAAUGGGGUGUGGAACUACAGAAUGAGCUCUGAGAUCAUCGUAUUUUGAAAUUUCAUUAAAAAAAUUUUUUUUCAGCCAGGUGUGGUGGCUCACGCCUGUAAUCCUAGCACUCUGGGAGGCUGAGGCAGGUGGAUUGCCUGAGCUCAAAGGUUCUAGACCAGCCAGAGCAAGAGUGAGACCCCGUCUCUAAAAAUAGCCAGGCACUGUGGUGGGUGUCUGUAGGCCAAGCUACUUGGGAGGCUGAGGCAAGAGAAUCUCUUGAGCCCAAGAGUUUGAGGUUGCUGUGAGCUAUGAUGCUAUGGCACUCUACCGAGGGUGACAAAAUAAGUCUCUGUCUCAAAAAAUAAAAUAAAAUCAUUAAAUUUAAAUUAAAAAAAUUUUUUUAGAGGCAGGGUCUCAUCAUAUUUCCCAGUCCAGAGUCCAAAGGCAUAAUCAUAGCUCACAGCAACCUUGAACUCCUGGGCACAAGUGAUUCUCCUACCUUAGCCUUUUGAGUAGCUAGGACUAACUUUUAACAAAAUGUUUUUAAAGAUGGGGUCUUGCUGUGUUGCCCAGGCUGGUCUUGAACUCCUGGCUUCAACUGUUCCUCUUGCCUCAACCUCCUACGUUUCUGGGAUACAGGAGUGUGCCACUGCACCCUGCUCUCUGAGCUCAUCUUAAUGGAAGUAAACAACAGGCACAGUAGCAGGUGCAAAUGUCUAAAACCACACCUGCAUCAGCAUGUGUAUGUACACAUAGGUCUGCUGCACAAAGCUCUCCCUCUGGCAGUGAGGCUGGGAGGGUAAGAGACAGGGUUA